AUUUUGCAUACAUAUAAACAAAAAGGAAUACAUGAAAUAAUAAUAAGGGCUUAUGCCCUUUUACAACACAAAUCAAAUGAUGGACUUAUGUCCAUUUACAACAAAUGAAUUAAUCAAAUUACAUUCAAACCUAUACUACUAAAACCCAAACAUUCAUAAUGUAUAUCGGCCAAUCACAUAGCUCAAUUAUAGUGGCCUUUGGUUCAUAAUCACCCUUUUCUUAAUCAAUCAAAUUAACUAAGAAAACAACUUUAAACAAUUGGUUUUUGGAUCCAUAGAAUUGAUUUAAAUGGAACUAAAUGAAAUGAAAAUUCAAUUCUCAUUUAAAGAGACAAAACAAUUUUGUUCUCAUCCUUUUGGGCCAAAAGGAAACUAUGACCACAACAUUUGGGCCACAACGUAAAAACGUAAACUUUUUGGGCUAAAAUGCAAAUACACAAAAGUAUCUAAAACUUUAUGUAAUUGCACAAAGGGCCCCAAAAUUAACCCCACUUGGGGUGGCCGGCCAUUUGGGAAAAAUUUGAAAAAAAAAUCUAAAAAAUUUUGCUAGUGGUUUUUGGUGGGUGAGGAAAAGGAUGAAAGUGAUGAUUUGUUUGAAAAAUAAAGUCUAUGACUAAUUAUGACAAAUAUUAAAAUCAUUUCAUCACAUCUCACCAAUAACCUCAAUCAUCAAAAUUUAAACCAAAACUUUAUGAAAAACAUAAAACUUUUGAAUCAAAACUUCAAAACUUUAUGUUCUUGGCAAGAACUUCAAGAACAUUGAAGAACACUCAUGAAAACUCAUAAUAGCUCCAUGAAUGUUUUUCACUUACCAAAACUCAAAUUUUCACCAUUCAAAAGAGGGCUAACAUCCUAGGGUACUUAGGGGUUCCAAAAGUCACUUUAAAACCAUUUUAACAAGACAAAC
This 907-nucleotide long non-coding RNA is filed under the name Malus domestica (apple). RNAcentral describes it as "long non-coding RNA (MDOM_LNC000200)". The record is from RNAcentral. Lineage: Eukaryota; Viridiplantae; Streptophyta; Magnoliopsida; Rosales; Rosaceae.